This is a non-coding RNA of Bos taurus (domestic cattle), 73 nucleotides long. The record is from Rfam. NCBI's taxonomy places the organism in Eukaryota, Metazoa, Chordata, Mammalia, Artiodactyla, Bovidae.
UCCCUGGUGGUCCAGUGGUUAGGACUCUGCACUUCCAAUGCAAAGGACAUGGGUUCAGUCCCUAGUCCAGGAA